Molecule: ribosomal RNA, 1372 nt
Filed under: uncultured bacterium
Lineage: Bacteria
Description: bacterial SSU rRNA
Rfam family: Bacterial small subunit ribosomal RNA
Source: RNAcentral
GAUGAACGCUGGCGGCGUGCCUAAUAUAUGCAAGUCGAGCGAACGGACGAGAAGCUUGCUUCUCUGAUGUUAGCGGCGGACGGGUGAGUAACACGUGGAUAACCUACCUAUAAGACUGGGAUAACUUCGGGAAACCGGAGCUAAUACCGGAUAAUAUUUUGAACCGCAUGGUUCAAAAGUGAAAGACGGUCUUGCUGUCACUUAUAGAUGGAUCCGCGCUGCAUUAGCUAGUUGGUAAGGUAACGGCUUACCAAGGCAACGAUGCAUAGCCGACCUGAGAGGGUGAUCGGCCACACUGGAACUGAGACACGGUCCAGACUCCUACGGGAGGCAGCAGUAGGGAAUCUUCCGCAAUGGGCGAAAGCCUGACGGAGCAACGCCGCGUGAGUGAUGAAGGUCUUCGGAUCGUAAAACUCUGUUAUUAGGGAAGAACAUAUGUGUAAGUAACUGUGCACAUCUUGACGGUACCUAAUCAGAAAGCCACGGCUAACUACGUGCCAGCAGCCGCGGUAAUACGUAGGUGGCAAGCGUUAUCCGGAAUUAUUGGGCGUAAAGCGCGCGUAGGCGGUUUUUUAAGUCUGAUGUGAAAGCCCACGGCUCAACCGUGGAGGGUCAUUGGAAACUGGAAAACUUGAGUGCAGAAGAGGAAAGUGGAAUUCCAUGUGUAGCGGUGAAAUGCGCAGAGAUAUGGAGGAACACCAGUGGCGAAGGCGACUUUCUGGUCUGUAACUGACGCUGAUGUGCGAAAGCGUGGGGAUCAAACAGGAUUAGAUACCCUGGUAGUCCACGCCGUAAACGAUGAGUGCUAAGUGUUAGGGGGUUUCCGCCCCUUAGUGCUGCCGCUAACGCAUUAAGCACUCCGCCUGGGGAGUACGACCGCAAGGUUGAAACUCAAAGGAAUUGACGGGGACCCGCACAAGCGGUGGAGCAUGUGGUUUAAUUCGAAGCAACGCGAAGAACCUUACCAAAUCUUGACAUCCUUUGACAACUCUAGAGAUAGAGCCUUCCCCUUCGGGGGACAAAGUGACAGGUGGUGCAUGGUUGUCGUCAGCUCGUGUCGUGAGAUGUUGGGUUAAGUCCCGCAACGAGCGCAACCCUUAAGCUUAGUUGCCAUCAUUAAGUUGGGCACUCUAAGUUGACUGCCGGUGACAAACCGGAGGAAGGUGGGGAUGACGUCAAAUCAUCAUGCCCCUUAUGAUUUGGGCUACACACGUGCUACAAUGGACAAUACAAAGGGCAGCGAAACCGCGAGGUCAAGCAAAUCCCAUAAAGUUGUUCUCAGUUCGGAUUGUAGUCUGCAACUCGACUACAUGAAGCUGGAAUCGCUAGUAAUCGUAGAUCAGCAUGCUACGGUGAAUACGUUCCCGGGUCU